CUGGUCCCAAGCUAGAUCUUCGGGAAAAGGGAUCAAGGAAAUGACUAUUCCUCCAAAUAAAAUGCAACAAGAAGAAUGAAAAAACGUAGAAGAGAAAGCCUCGUGAAACUGAGAAGCAUCUGCAACCACAAACUACAAAAUGUAGCUGCUAAACAAAAUGAAAGUUGGAUCAAAGUGGUGGCAAAUAUCAAGAGUGAAUAUACUCCACGGCAGAGUACUGCAAAUGCUGCACAUCUUUCAUGGAUUCUGGUCCACCUCGUCCUCACGCGGGGAUGCAGACUGACAAGCUUCCACCAUGAAGGGUUGUCAUUUGCCAUAGCAGGGAGAGGAAAAUGGAGCAAAUCAGUCACCAGCUCGUCAUACAGAAGAGUGUCCCACGUCAUAUCUGCUGAUAUGUUAUGGCCAAAGUACAUGACUAUCUCCAAGGAGCUGAGAGGUGAAAUUCGGACAUUUGUCUGGACGGAGUAGAACCAAGAGAGUCGUAAACAUCCUGUGGACUACACACCGUUUAACAAGAUG
This 519-nucleotide long non-coding RNA is filed under the name Homo sapiens (human). Its description in RNAcentral is "non-protein coding LINC00670:6". The record is from RNAcentral. Lineage: Eukaryota; Metazoa; Chordata; Mammalia; Primates; Hominidae.